UCUCAUAGUCAAGGGCGCGAUGAGUAAAAAUGACAGACGGGCAUGGCCAUGACACCAUGAGUAAAAGAGUUCUGACAAUAAGAAAACCAGGCAUGGUGAAAAUCGGAAAAGGCACCAUGAGUAAAAAUAGAAAUCAAAGGUGGACAUGAUCUCGAAGUCAUAGGUAAAAGAGCCUCAAUAAAAAGAAGAAAUUGGUGAAAACCAUUUUUAUGGUGCCACUUCCAUCCAGUUCAGGUGAAAACCCGCAAGGACGCUUGGACCAAUAAACAAGUUGUUGCAACUCUUGACCAAAGACAAUUUCAACCAAUUAAGCCAAUAAGAUUGGAAGUUGCUGGCAGAAACCCAAAUCAGCCCUUCCCUACCAACUAGAUUGGGAGCAAAACUCACCAAGGGUACUCACUAGCUGAUCUCAUAGUCAAGAAGAUUUGAAGGUGCUGGCAGAAACCUAGAUCAACCCUUCUCAAAACGAAGUUCCCACGAUAUUGGGAUUAAGUCCACCAAGGACCGUCAGUUGUUGCAAAUAAAGCUGUUGAUGUUGGAGCAAGCCCUUAAACAAGGCACUCACUCAAAGCCAAGAAGAUUGGAAGUUGCUGGCAUAAACCCAGAUCAACCCUUCCCCAUGAACUAGAUCAGGAGCAGAGCCCACCAAGGGCACCCACUACCUGGUCUCAUAGUCAAGAAGAUUUGAAGGUGCUUGCAGAAACCUAGAUUUGCCCUUCUCAAAACAAAGUCCCCGUGACACUGAGAUUAAGUCCACCGAGGACCCUCAGUUGUUGCAAAUAAAGCUGUUAGCAAGCCCUUAAACAUGGCACUCACUCAAAGCCAAGAAGUUUGGAAGUUGCUGGCACAAACCUAGAUCAACCCUUCCCCACCAAGUAGAUUGGGAGCAAAGCCCACCAAGGCCACCCACUAGUUGGUCCAUUAGGAGGUGUUGUUGAGACGAAACGACAAGCCCUUCCAUAAGGCACCCUAUUAGGGCACCCUCCCAGAAAAUGGAUCCAGUAGCAUUGGUAAGGAACCCCCUAAGCAAGGCCCCCAAUCGCUAGAGUCCACUUCAGUCGCACCUCCGAGAAGAAGCUUAGCAUGGUCUCCUCUUCAAGGAUCGUGUUGAUGCCAAUGGAGAUUGUUGAGAGGCAAUAACAGUGAAUUUAGUAAUGAUUUGAAAGAUGAACAUCGACGAAAACAUUUUUGCUCUGAAUGCUACACUUCUCGCUUCUCUCGAAGAGUAGCAUUCGGCGGGGCAAGUUGUUAUACGUCAUUUUUUAUGUACUUGUAUUUCUGAGUCAUAUAAGGAGAGAGCUAGUAACAACCUGGUCCUACCGGUACCCAAGACACCGCCAGACUAUGGAAACACUGCAAAUAAGCCUAAAAUUGGGUGACCUCUGAAAAAGUAUUAGAACGGCCUCAAUAGACAUGAAAAUGGUAUUUGGGAUGCCCGAAGGAUGCUCACAAAGUUUUGUUGCAUUCCAAUUAGUUUUGAUAUGAUCAAGACGAAACUCGCUUCUCAAAUCCAGCUCCUAUCAUGUUAAAAAUGGACCUUAUAACUAUAGCCAUACUUUCGAGGUUUCAAAACAGUUCCUGACCACCGCCAUUAGUUCCAGAACGUCGAAACACCUUCAAGGACCAAAUUUGGGCUCACUCGGACCUUCCAGGACCGUUCUAGAACCAACUUACCCUAAAAAGACGGUUUCACACUAUUACAAUGCAGUAUCGGUGAAUCAGUUUCCAUUUAUAGAAACUGUGUUUUCUCAUUUUGCGAUGAUUUGUAAAUACUCAUAACUUUCUCAUUUUGAGUCGGAACAAGCUCAACACACAAGCUAGGCCUCGACGACUCAGUUGUUUUGACAUAUAGCACACAUCGUGACGUGGACCGUGACGAGAGAAUUUCUAGCGAGAAAAUGACCCCGAAACCAUGAAAGUCACAAUUCUAAACAAGAAGACGUCUCAAACUUCGUGAAGUCAUAACUUGAGAUCCGUUUGUCGGAUCAUCGAAAAUUUGGGUUCGUUGUGACCAUAUCGUGAAGGGCUAUAGUUUGGUAUAAUUUUUUCACACAAUUGGAAACCAAAUAGUGCGAAUUUUGAGGUUGAAAAAGGCAAGAUUUUCCAUUCGCCGGAAUCCCAUUUUUCGGCAACUUCUCAAAUUUUGAAUUUGCUCAAACAGAAACCAAAUCGGACGAAAUUUAGUGACAAACUACUCUUUAAUUCAUGAUCAAAAUGAGGACUCGAAACAUCAUGAAUCGUACCGGAUUGGUGGUCGAAGUUUAUGGACUUAGCCAGAUUUUUGGUCCUUCAUGAAAGUCCGCUUCAAGAUGAUCAAAGGGCAUCAAAAUGUUUGUGAUAGAUACGACGAUUGAUCGCCCGAAUUGCCACCAUACGUGUUUGAAAAAGCUCUCGAAAUCUAGCAAUGGCAAGAGGCACCUCAUGGAGGGAUGGUUUUGUCAUUUGCCCGAAAGAUCUAAAGGGUAUUUUGGUCAUCUUGUCCAAAAAGGGGAUUUUAUUUUAAUUCCAUUUAAUUAUAAUUUUCCACAAUUUGGGUAAAUUUUUAGCAUUCCACCCUUGUUUAGUGGUUGCUCUAUAUAAGGAAACCCAAGUCAUUUGUAAAUGAGUUGGAAAGAGUUAUUAAAAUUGAAGCAUUAAGCAUGUGCCAUUUCUGCUUUGAUUCUUACUCUUUGGACCAAGUGGUGAGGAGAGAGAAAACUUUGGUGGAGAGAGAAAACUUUGGUAGAGAGAGAAACUACCCCUAGCCUGUACUCCCUAGCCCACACACUAGCCUAUACCAUAGUCCACACUCCUUAGCCUACAUCCUAGCUUACAACCAAGCCUACACCAUGGUCUAUGGAUUCUAGUCUUGACCCAUGGCUAGCCACUCUCUCUCUCUCUUGUGUAAGCAAAGGGGCUAAGGUGGUGCACCUAGGCUAGGUCACACCCCAAGCUCACUCUCUCUCCUCUUUCCCCUCUCUUUCCUUUCUCUUUCAUUCUCUACCCCAUCUUCUCUGAGUAAGCAACCCAGAGCCGCAGCUUCCUGCGGCCCCGUCUCUCCCCUAGUCUCUCUUCUCUCUGCUACGCAACACCCCGGAGCCAUAGCAAACGUGCGGCCCCGUCUCUCUCUCUCAUCUUCACGUGCGCAUGAACCUCGGAGCUGCAAUUACCUGUGGCCCCCAUCUCUCUCUCUCGUCUUCAUGCGCCACUAAACCCCAUAGCCUCUCUCUCUCUCUC
Molecule: long non-coding RNA, 3216 nt
Filed under: Amborella trichopoda
Lineage: Eukaryota; Viridiplantae; Streptophyta; Magnoliopsida; Amborellales; Amborellaceae
Description: long non-coding RNA (ATRI_LNC003159)
Source: RNAcentral